RNAcentral lists this ribosomal RNA (293 nucleotides) under uncultured bacterium. RNAcentral describes it as "partial 16S ribosomal RNA". The record is from RNAcentral.
GGACUACUGGGGUUUCUAAUCCUGUUUGCUACCCACGCUUUCGCGCCUCAGCGUCAGUUGAUGACCAGUUUGCUGCCUUCGCCAUGGGUGUUCCUCCUGAUAUCAACGCAUUUCACCGCUACACCAGGAAUUCCACAAACCUCUUCAUCACUCCAGCUCGCCAGUAUGUAAAGCAGUUUCCGGGUUGAGCCCUGGAGAUUUCACUUCACACUUAACGAGCCGCCUACGCGCUCUUUACGCCCAGUAAAUCCGGACAACGCUUGGACCCUACGUCUUACCGCGGCGGCUGGCAC